This is a long non-coding RNA of Gorilla gorilla gorilla (western lowland gorilla), 1526 nucleotides long. RefSeq lists it as uncharacterized. The transcript has 3 exons. The record is from RefSeq and is a predicted model, not a curated record. NCBI's taxonomy places the organism in Eukaryota, Metazoa, Chordata, Mammalia, Primates, Hominidae.
CCUAUAUUUGAAUGCUGUUUGGUCUGUGUUUACUUUAAUGUGUUCUUCUUUCUGCAUUCAUUCAGAGCUAAAUUUAUCCCACUAGAGGAGAAGGCAUACUUGGGGAGGUGGGGGUGGAAAAAGAACAGACACAAAGGCGGCUGCUUGACUGGGAGCCAGGAGCCUUGUGGAGUUCCCUGGAAGAAGACGGUGGGAGCCAGCACGUGGAAGGUAGCCACUCCAGAGGCUCUGUGAGGACUCUGUGUAGACUUCACAAGGGAAGGUUUUCCACAGGAGCCUCUGCGCCCUUCGCUUUUGAGAAGGAAGUGACCAGGAACAAGACUUUAGAACUUGUAAAUUAGAAAAAGCAGUUCUAUAACUCCCAUGAGCUCCCAAAUCUGGCCCAACCCUUCAGGAAAUGAAGACUCAGCAGCUCUCUGGGCCUCCCCAAGGAAAACAGUGUCUGUCCCCAUGGAAAGAAGAAGGGCAGCUGGCAGGGCCACUUCUGCUGCAAAGGUGAUUUUACUAUGCAGCCACUAUUAAAAACCACAGAUGUCAUUGGUGAUGAUGAUGAUGAUGAUGGUGAUGGUGAUGAAGACGGCAAUGAUUGCAGAGUUUCAGCUGAGAACAAUAGGACGAGACCACCUACGUAGGAUGGGCUAAGCAUUGUGAGACAGGUGCUGCAGUCCUUUACUCAUCACAGUGGGACAAGCCUGAGGAUUUGUUAGAGAUUGGGAAGUGGGAGCUUUUUAGAAAAAGACUUGAUGUGCUGUGGCAUUUCUCCCUCCCUUCCCACUGGGAAGUGGGAAAGAAGUAGGAAGUCAUUCUCCAGUGUAAUGCUCCCCCAACUGAGCUAUUUCAGCUGCCAAUGUAGGAAGUCACUCUCAUAUUAAGCCACAUGAGCAUGGGUUUCAGGUCUCAGAGAGCUUCAUAGGUAUACUUUGGAGUUUGAAAAACAGAAUCUAGAACUGCCCCAAACCUGAUACUGUCAAAAUGUGAGAUGCUGGCUGGCUGGCCAGAGGAGCAAUUGGUGGCAGAUUGAAGAAGGCUGCCUUGAAAGGCUUCCACUUGAAAAGUGUGGAAGGGCAAAAAUUCAUAUCUUCUUCCCAUGUGUUAGAUAUGGAUCCAUCAGAAGGGAGGAGGUCUCAGGUUACCUGGAGGGAUAAAGUGAUGCCACCAGAGGGGAUGACAGGGUGUCACUGAGGGCCAGAGGUUGUCCUAGGAACAUGCUACAUUAGGGAACUGCAGUAGGAGGACCCCAGGAAAGACACCUCAGAGGAACCCAAGAACAAGCCCUGGAGAGGAGGGACUGGCAUUGGUCCACUGCCCCAUCCCCAGAGGGCACCAAUGUAAAUAACAACUGUAGCAGUCAAAGGAGCCAUUUUCUGCCCCUCACCCUCUUUGCCUUUCGAGCCCUAAUACUGGAGAAGCCAGCGCAACAGAGCAGAAGAGAAAGAGUGGAAGACUGAGAAAAUAGUGAGUGAUCCAACCCCGACCCCCUUCCCCACUGCUAGUCUCCCGCCUGAUAUGGGUCCAAGCUGCAGGAG